This 372-nucleotide ribosomal RNA is filed under the name uncultured organism. RNAcentral's name for it is "bacterial SSU rRNA". It matches the Rfam family "Bacterial small subunit ribosomal RNA", at positions 526 to 896 of the family's 1533-position model. The record is from RNAcentral.
CGUAGGGUGCGAGCGUUGUCCGGAUUUAUUGGGCGUAAAGAGCUCGUAGGCGGUUUGUCGCGUCGGCCGUGAAAUCUCCACGCUUAACGUGGAGCGUGCGGUCGAUACGGGCAGACUUGAGUUCGGUAGGGGAGACUGGAAUUCCUGGUGUAGCGGUGAAAUGCGCAGAUAUCAGGAGGAACACCGGUGGCGAAGGCGGGUCUCUGGGCCGAUACUGACGCUGAAGAGCGAAAGCGUGGGGAGCGAACAGGAUUAGAUACCCUGGUAGUCCACGCUGUAAACGUUGGGCGCUAGGUGUGGGCGACACCCACGUUGUCCGUGCCGUAGCUAACGCAUUAAGCGCCCCGCCUGGGGAGUACGGCCGCAAGGCUA